Molecule: ribosomal RNA, 23 nt
Filed under: Avicennia marina
Lineage: Eukaryota; Viridiplantae; Streptophyta; Magnoliopsida; Lamiales; Acanthaceae
Description: partial 18S ribosomal RNA
Source: RNAcentral
GUGAACCUGCGGAAGGAUNAUUG